CCUGGGAAGGGAAAAGGAACAGGAAGGGAGGUAAUUCUGAUGCAUCCUCAAGAUUGACGACCACUGCUCUAAACGCAAGCCUGUGAUCAACAAACCGUGUUUGAAUGUCUACUAUAUGCAAAUUGUUACCAAGCCCUCAACUCCUGAUGCAGUGACUUCAUUUCUCUGUACCCCAUGCCUGUUAUCAAGAUCAGAAGUACUGCAGCACCCAGCCUCACCAUCUAUUUACCCAGCAGGUGACUGUUGGCAAUACCUUGAUUGACCGGCACCUGUUACAAGAUGAGACUCUUGAAAUGGAGUUUGGGACCCUCUCUUCUGGUUUGAACACUAACACUGUGUUUGGAUUUCUUUUGUUGCUUCCCAAUUACUGCAGUAAACCCCAUGAAUCUCCAGUUGUGGCCCUGACUCAGUCCCUGUUACAAUCCCCCAUGGGCUCUAGUCACUGCUUUGCUUUUAUCUUCUAGUCCUGCUGUGGGGCUCUUAGUCCCUGUUAUGGGCUGAAUUGUGUUCCAUCAAAUUCGUAUGUUGAUGUUCUCACCCCCACUAACUCAGAAUGUGACAGUAUUUGGACACAGGGUCUUUACAGGCAAUUAAGUUAAAAUGAAGCUUUUUGAAUGAGCUUUAAAACAAUAUGACUGGUGUCUACAACAAGAGGACAUCAGGGCACAGGCAUGCACAGAGGGAAGACUAUGUGAGGGCACAGAGAGCCAUUGUCCAUCUGAAGGCCAAGGAGAUAGGCCCCAGAAGAAACCAACUUUGUUGUCAGCGUGAUUCAGACUUCUAGCCUCCAGAACUGCGAGAAAAUGAAUUUCUGUUGUUUAAGCCACCCAGUCAGUCCUACUUUGUCAUGGCCAUCCUAGCAAAUGAGGGCUCCUUCCCCCGUUUCCAGUUGUCCCUCAAAACUCCAUGACAAAUUCUUUAGGGACACGGAGGAAGCAGCAGCAUCUAUCUUUAUGGAGGGAUGUAUAGCAAAAGCCAUGAGAAUCAGUGAUUCCUGCAAAAUUCCUGAGGAGAGUGAGGCUUAUGACAAGCGUGCAUGGGGAAUAUUUUUGUUGGCUUGCUUUAUGCUGCUCCCUUUUGUUUUUAUUUUGCAUUUUUUUCCAAAUAUGAUACCAACCUCAGUGUCUUCAACUCUGGAUGUGGCUCUCUAUACAAACUGGGACUUUGGGUUUACUGUGAUCAACAAAACCUGUUUGAAUGUCUACCAUAUGCAAAUCCCCAGGCUAGGGAGUUAGAAAGAGCCAUUUGUCCAUAUAUAUGUGAUUAUGUACAUUUCUAUAUAAUGUGUCUUGGGGAGAUGAUGGCUAUGUAGCUUGAAAAAAAACUAACUCUAGGUAGAAUAGGAAAACUUUCAAAUGAAUGGUAAAGGCAUCAACCAGCAUGGAAAAAAAAAUCCAAUUUAGAAAUGCUACUUGAAAUGGGCCAAUUUUGGACAAAUGGAUAGAAAAUGGGAUAUUUAAAAUGUGAAACAGACAAGCAAGGAGCAAGGUUUACUUUAAGUGCUCUGUCCUACAUCCCUUGCCAGUGAAAUCUAUUAUGUUCAUUUAACCCUGGCACCACUGUUCUCUCUUCCAUAAAUCAUUUUCUACUCCCCCAAGAAAAAUAUCUUGCUUCUUUUCAAUAUUUGCAAAGCCUUUUGCACAUAAGUACACAACAAAUCACACUGUUUUAGCAACUUAUGUAUAUCUGUCUAUCUGCUUGAGCGUGUAAGAUACUUAUGGAUAAGCACUGUUUAUUGAAAUCAACUCAGUAUCUCAGGACUUGACUCAAACUAGGUAUCAAAAAAGUGAUUGUGGCCAGGUGAA
This 1805-nucleotide long non-coding RNA is filed under the name Homo sapiens (human). RNAcentral describes it as "HSALNT0251519". The record is from RNAcentral. Lineage: Eukaryota; Metazoa; Chordata; Mammalia; Primates; Hominidae.